RNAcentral lists this ribosomal RNA (498 nucleotides) under Enterococcus faecium. RNAcentral describes it as "partial 16S ribosomal RNA". It matches the Rfam family "Bacterial small subunit ribosomal RNA", at positions 37 to 518 of the family's 1533-position model. The record is from RNAcentral. Lineage: Bacteria; Bacillati; Bacillota; Bacilli; Lactobacillales; Enterococcaceae.
CUAUGGNGGGGUUCAAAUNUUCNANGAGNNGNAGGAGCUUGCCUCACCGGAAAAAGAGGAGAGGCGAACGGGUGAGUAACACGUGGGUAACCUGCCCAUCAGAAGGGGAUAACACUUGGAAACAGGUGCUAAUACCGUAUAACAAUCNAAACCGCAUGGUUUUGAUUUGAAAGGCGCUUUCGGGUGUCGCUGAUGGAUGGACCCGCGGUGCAUUAGCUAGUUGGUGAGGUAACGGCUCACCAAGGCCACGAUGCAUAGCCGACCUGAGAGGGUGAUCGGCCACAUUGGNGACUGAGACACGGCCCAAACUCCUACGGGAGGNAGCAGUAGGGAAUCUUCNGCAAUGGACGAAAGUCUGACCGAGCAACGCCGCGUGAGUGAAGAAGGUUUUCGGAUCGUAAAACUCUGUUGUUAGAGAAGAACAAGGAUGAGAGUAACUGUUCAUCCCUUGACGGUAUCUAACCAGAAAGCCACGGCUAACUACGUGCCAGCAGCCAA